Molecule: ribosomal RNA, 208 nt
Filed under: uncultured bacterium
Lineage: Bacteria
Description: partial 16S ribosomal RNA
Rfam family: Bacterial small subunit ribosomal RNA
Source: RNAcentral
CGCGCAGGCGGAUUAGCAAGUCAGAGGUGAAAUCCUACAGCUUAACUGUAGAACUGCCUUUGAAACUGUUAAUCUUGAGUACGGAAGAGAGAAGCGGAAUUCCAGGUGUAGCGGUGAAAUACGUAGAUAUCUGGAAGAACACCAGUUGCGAAGGCGGCUUCUUGGUCCGUUACUGAUGCUGAGGCGCGAAAGCGGUGGGGAGCAAACA